AACGAACGCUGGCGGCAUGCCUAACACAUGCAAGUCGAACGAUACCUUCGGGUCUAGUGGCGCACGGGUGCGUAACGCGUGGGAACCUGCCCUUAGGUUCGGAAUAACUCCCCGAAAGGGGUGCUAAUACCGGAUAAUGUCUUCGGACCAAAGAUUUAUCGCCUUUGGAUGGGCCCGCGUUGGAUUAGCUAGUUGGUAGGGUAAAAGCCUACCAAGGCUACGAUCCAUAGCUGGUCUGAGAGGAUGAUCAGCCACACUGGGACUGAGACACGGCCCAGACUCCUACGGGAGGCAGCAGUGGGGAAUAUUGGACAAUGGGCGAAAGCCUGAUCCAGCAAUGCCGCGUGAGUGAUGAAGGCCUUAGGGUUGUAAAGCUCUUUUACCCGGGAUGAUAAUGACAGUACCGGGAGAAUAAGCUCCGGCUAACUCCGUG
Molecule: ribosomal RNA, 433 nt
Filed under: uncultured bacterium
Lineage: Bacteria
Description: partial 16S ribosomal RNA
Rfam family: Bacterial small subunit ribosomal RNA
Source: RNAcentral